ACUCCUACGGGAGGCAGCAGUGAGGAAUAUUGGGACAAUGGGGGAAAGCCCUCGAUCCAGCCAUGCCGCGUGUGUGAAGAAGGCCUUCGGGUUGUAAAGCACUUUCAGUGGGGAGGAAAGGUUGUUGGUUAAUACCUAACAGCUGUGACGUUACCCACAGAAGAAGCACCGGCUAACUCCGUGCCAGCAGCCGCGGUAAUACGGAGGGUGCAAGCGUUAAUCGGAAUUACUGGGCGUAAAGCGCACGU
Molecule: ribosomal RNA, 248 nt
Filed under: uncultured bacterium
Lineage: Bacteria
Description: partial 16S ribosomal RNA
Rfam family: Bacterial small subunit ribosomal RNA
Source: RNAcentral